Long non-coding RNA from Eleginops maclovinus (Patagonian blennie), 2098 nucleotides. RefSeq lists it as uncharacterized. The transcript has 5 exons. NCBI's taxonomy places the organism in Eukaryota, Metazoa, Chordata, Actinopteri, Perciformes, Eleginopidae. The record is from RefSeq and is a predicted model, not a curated record.
UGCAGAUAUUUCAGUGUGAUGUGCCUUUUCCUUUGUUCCCAUUUUUUAGGAGUCAUUUAAAAAAAAGCAACCCUUGUAGUGCAGUCUGCUGCAGUCACUAGGCUGGUUGUAUAACGGAGCUUCACCUCAGCUGAACUUCAUGCAUCUGGUUCAUCGGCGACGAAAGACGGCGCAGUCUGCAGCCUGUGUGCACCCGGUGAACCGAGCGGGAUGUCUGCGGGGAAACACACAUCGAGAGCGGGGAAACAGAUUUCUCCUGGCCAGGUAGCCGCUCACGGAGGCUGUCUCGUAGCAAGCAGACCUUUUUCUACUCAUCCAGCUACAAAUAUCGCUUUGUGCGUUUUUAGUUUUUUUGCUGGACACAAUAGAAGACGCCGUAUAGAAGAUAUAAAAACCUGCAGACUUGGAGUCGGACACCGCGGAGGACGAGACCAUGCAACUUGAAUUGAGAUGCGGCGCAAAGAGGCACCCGAGUAGACGUGGAACCACCGGACUCAAGAUACUGCAAUGCAGAGAGGAUAUGUGGACAUACUGUGUGCAACUACAGAGGGAUCCGGCACAAUGAACGAGGGAGAAGUCAGCGCUUUCCCACCGGAUAGCCGAUAUCUGCAGUGUGUACCAGGCGCCUACAAAGUCUCAGUGGCCUCAUUAUUUGGGAAUUACAAUACAAUCAAGGCGGAGGAAACCUGAGAGGAGGCGCCGACAGAAGGCAGUCACCUGAGGCCGCGGAGGAGAGACAUCCAGGAAGUAUUCUUGAAUUGGCGAUAAAAAAUACGGAAGAAGAGACGCACAGUUCCCUCUACUCUUACAUCAAGUUGGAUAAUUUAGAAAGUAAUUAAACUUAAUUAAAAAAGCAAUAUUAAUAAACAAGCUUUUUUCUAAAAUUCAGUUUAAAAUCCUGUAAAACCCCUAUGAGACAGGUUUGUUUUGAUGAACCUAUAGCUAAAAAGAAGAUCUCAUAGUAGUUGUGUAUAAUUAAAUGGGUUCCUACUCGGCCCAUGCUACACCCCACCACCAAAUUCCUGAAAAUCAAGCCAGUAGUUUUUCCCGUAAUCCUGCUGACAAACACACAGGCCAAACCAGAGCAAAACCAUAAGCUGCUCUGCGGAGGUAAUAAUUCACGAGCAUGUGGAUUUAGUCCUGACAAGAUAAUCUCUACUCAAAUGCCCACUUAGUAGCUUUUUCUGACUGCAGCUCACAGGCCCUAUCAGCGGGGAUCUACUUCAUAUUUUCUCCCUUUGAAAAAAAGGUUUAUUUUUGAGACCUUUUGAAUGUGUAUUCCUGCAGGUGGACCACCAGCAGGAGACGAGCGGUCCUUUGGGGUGAGGUAGUAGGUUGUAUAGUUUUAGGGUCAAUCCCGAGCUGUAAGAUGACUAUACAACUUACUGUCUUUCCUGAAGCGGCCGUGAAGGCAGCAUCCAUCAUCAUCAUCAUCAUCGGGAAUCUCAUGAAGGAAAAUGGGAAAAAAUGAUCAGUUUUUAUAACUAAAUGAUAAGGUAGAUAAUAGGGUGUAAAAUAGGUUGUGUUAGGAGGAAUAUGUACCUCAUGUUUGUAUUGUACAAUUAGCAUUUACUCUAUCAGAAAUAUAGACUUUUUUUUUGAGUUUUUAUCCAUGUUUUUGUUUAUUAAAAUGUAAGAUUAGGACUCUGUUACUUUAAAUGUGGUCGUGAUUAUUUGAAAUGUGUGAACAAAAUACGUCCAUUAGCGUGACGUGUCAUUUAAACCAAUCACUAGCCUCGCUGUAUUUACGUGAAAGCAGCUCAGGAGUGUGUCUUUGUUUACCCGGUGACCUGGUGUGACUCAUGGUGUUCGUACAGGGUGAGGUAGUAGGUUGUGUGGUUUCAGGGUUGUGAUUUUACCCCAUCAGGAGCUAACUAUACAACCUACUGCCUUCCUUGGAGGGCAGCAGUACAUCACAGCAGACUCUCGCUCAAAGCCGUUUGAUUCUUAAGGUUUCAGUGAACGGGUGAGUAAGGCCAUAUCACAAGAUGAACUUACAUGAGUUACUUUAUAAAUCUGUAACCCUGAAAAGUGUUUUAUCUAGUACUGUUUCAUAAAUAAAUAAAGAUUGGGUAAGAAAUCGUAUACAAAUGAAAAA